RNAcentral lists this ribosomal RNA (1674 nucleotides) under Escherichia coli. RNAcentral describes it as "partial 23S ribosomal RNA". It matches the Rfam family "Bacterial large subunit ribosomal RNA", at positions 171 to 1869 of the family's 2925-position model. The record is from RNAcentral. Lineage: Bacteria; Pseudomonadati; Pseudomonadota; Gammaproteobacteria; Enterobacterales; Enterobacteriaceae.
UUAAUGAGGCGAACCGGGGGAACUGAAACAUCUAAGUACCCCGAGGAAAAGAAAUCAACCGAGAUUCCCCCAGUAGCGGCGAGCGAACGGGGAGCAGCCCAGAGCCUGAAUCAGUGUGUGUGUUAGUGGAAGCGUCUGGAAAGGCGCGUGAUACAGGGUGACAGCCCCGUACACAAAAAUGCACAUGCUGUGAGCUCGAUGAGUAGGGCGGGACACGUGGUAUCCUGUCUGAAUAUGGGGGGACCAUCCUCCAAGGCUAAAUACUCCUGACUGACCGAUAGUGAACCAGUACCGUGAGGGAAAGGCGAAAAGAACCCCGGCGAGGGGAGUGAAAAAGAACCUGAAACCGUGUACGUACAAGCAGUGGGAGCACGCUUAGGCGUGUGACUGCGUACCUUUUGUAUAAUGGGUCAGCGACUUAUAUUCUGUAGCAAGGUUAACCGAAUAGGGGAGCCGAAGGGAAACCGAGUCUUAACUGGGCGUUAAGUUGCAGGGUAUAGACCCGAAACCCGGUGAUCUAGCCAUGGGCAGGUUGAAGGUUGGGUAACACUAACUGGAGGACCGAACCGACUAAUGUUGAAAAAUUAGCGGAUGACUUGUGGCUGGGGGUGAAAGGCCAAUCAAACCGGGAGAUAGCUGGUUCUCCCCGAAAGCUAUUUAGGUAGCGCCUCGUGAAUUCAUCUCCGGGGGUAGAGCACUGUUUCGGCAAGGGGGUCAUCCCGACUUACCAACCCGAUGCAAACUGCGAAUACCGGAGAAUGUUAUCACGGGAGACACACGGCGGGUGCUAACGUCCGUCGUGAAGAGGGAAACAACCCAGACCGCCAGCUAAGGUCCCAAAGUCAUGGUUAAGUGGGAAACGAUGUGGGAAGGCCCAGACAGCCAGGAUGUUGGCUUAGAAGCAGCCAUCAUUUAAAGAAAGCGUAAUAGCUCACUGGUCGAGUCGGCCUGCGCGGAAGAUGUAACGGGGCUAAACCAUGCACCGAAGCUGCGGCAGCGACGCUUAUGCGUUGUUGGGUAGGGGAGCGUUCUGUAAGCCUGUGAAGGUGUACUGUGAGGUAUGCUGGAGGUAUCAGAAGUGCGAAUGCUGACAUAAGUAACGAUAAAGCGGGUGAAAAGCCCGCUCGCCGGAAGACCAAGGGUUCCUGUCCAACGUUAAUCGGGGCAGGGUGAGUCGACCCCUAAGGCGAGGCCGAAAGGCGUAGUCGAUGGGAAACAGGUUAAUAUUCCUGUACUUGGUGUUACUGCGAAGGGGGGACGGAGAAGGCUAUGUUGGCCGGGCGACGGUUGUCCCGGUUUAAGCGUGUAGGCUGGUUUUCCAGGCAAAUCCGGAAAAUCAAGGCUGAGGCGUGAUGACGAGGCACUACGGUGCUGAAGCAACAAAUGCCCUGCUUCCAGGAAAAGCCUCUAAGCAUCAGGUAACAUCAAAUCGUACCCCAAACCGACACAGGUGGUCAGGUAGAGAAUACCAAGGCGCUUGAGAGAACUCGGGUGAAGGAACUAGGCAAAAUGGUGCCGUAACUUCGGGAGAAGGCACGCUGAUAUGUAGGUGAAGUCCCUCGCGGAUGGAGCUGAAAUCAGUCGAAGAUACCAGCUGGCUGCAACUGUUUAUUAAAAACACAGCACUGUGCAAACACGAAAGUGGACGUAUACGGUGUGACGCCUGCCCGGUGC